ACUCCUGCGGGAGGCAGCAGUGGGGAAUUUUGGACAAUGGGCGAAAGCCUGAUCCAGCAAUGCCGCGUGAGUGAAGAAGGCCUUCGGGUUGUAAAGCUCUUUUGUCAGGGAAGAAACGGUGAGAGCUAAUAUCUUUUGCUAAUGACGGUACCUGAAGAAUAAGCACCGGCUAACUACGUGCCAGCAGCCGCGGUAAUACGUAGGGUGCAAGCGUUAAUCGGAAUUACUGGGCGUAAAGCGUGCGCAGGCGGUUUUGUAAGUCUGAUGUGAAAUCCCCGGGCUCAACCUGGGAAUUGCAUUGGAGACUGCAAGGCUAGAAUCUGGCAGAGGGGGGUAGAAUUCCACGUGUAGCAGUGAAAUGCGUAGAUAUGUGGAGGAACACCGAUGGCGAAGGCAGCCCCCUGGGUCAAGAUUGACGCUCAUGCACGAAAGCGUGGGGAGCAAACAGGAUUAGAAACCCUAGUAGUCCCAUGA
RNAcentral lists this ribosomal RNA (474 nucleotides) under uncultured organism. RNAcentral describes it as "partial 16S ribosomal RNA". It matches the Rfam family "Bacterial small subunit ribosomal RNA", at positions 335 to 800 of the family's 1533-position model. The record is from RNAcentral.